This 174-nucleotide ribosomal RNA is filed under the name uncultured bacterium. RNAcentral describes it as "partial 16S ribosomal RNA". It matches the Rfam family "Bacterial small subunit ribosomal RNA", at positions 338 to 509 of the family's 1533-position model. The record is from RNAcentral.
CCUACGGGAGGCAGCAGUGAGGAAUAUUGGUCAAUGGGCGAGAGCCUGAACCAGCCAAGUAGCGUGCAGGAUGACGGCCCUAUGGGUUGUAAACUGCUUUUAUAAGGGAAUAAAGUGAGCCUCGUGAGGCUUUUUGCAUGUACCUUAUGAAUAAGGACCGGCUAACUCCGUGCC